This 497-nucleotide ribosomal RNA is filed under the name uncultured bacterium. RNAcentral's name for it is "partial 16S ribosomal RNA". It matches the Rfam family "Bacterial small subunit ribosomal RNA", at positions 28 to 507 of the family's 1533-position model. The record is from RNAcentral.
GAUGAACGCUGGCGGCGUGCCUAAUACAUGCAAGUCGAGCGAACAGACGAGGCGCUUGCUCCUCUGACGUUAGCGGCGGACGGGUGAGUAACACGUGGAUAACCUACCUAUAAGACUGGGAUAACUUCGGGAAACCGGAGCUAAUACCGGAUAAUAUCUUGAACCGCAUGGUUCAAUAGUGAAAGACGGUUUUGCUGUCACUUAUAGAUGCAUCCGGGCCGCAUUAGCUAGUUGGUAGGGUAACGGCUUACCAAGGCAACGAUGCGUAGCCGACCUGUGAGAGUGAUCGGCGACACUGGAGCUGAGACACGGUCAAGACGCCUACGGGAGGCAGCAGUAGGGAAUCUUCCGCAAUGGGCGAAAGCCUGACGGAGCAACGCCGCGUGAGUGAUGAAGGUCUUCGGAUCGUAAAGCUCUGUUAUUAGGGAAGAACAAAUGUGUAAGUAACUAUGCACGUCUUGACGGUACCUAAUCAGAAAGCCACGGCUAACUACGUG